Molecule: ribosomal RNA, 479 nt
Filed under: uncultured bacterium
Lineage: Bacteria
Description: bacterial SSU rRNA
Rfam family: Bacterial small subunit ribosomal RNA
Source: RNAcentral
UCAGGCACGAAAGCAUGGGGAGCGAACGGGGAUUAGAUACCCCCGGUAGUCCAUGCCGUAAACGAUGGGUACUAGGUGUUUGGAGGAUUCUACCCCCUUUCAGUGCCGCAGCUAACGCAUUAAGUACCCCACCUGGGGAGUACGAUCGCAAGGUUGAAACUCCAAAGGAAUUGACGGGGGCCCGCACAAGCGGUGGAGCAUGUGGUUUAAUUCGAUGCAACGCGAAGAACCUUACCUGGGCUUGACAUGCAGGGGACAGGUGUAGAAAUACACCCUUCUUCGGAUCCCUGUACAGGUGCUGCAUGGCUGUCGUCAGCUCCGUGUCGUGAAAUGUUAGGUUAAGUCCUGCAACGAGCGCAACCCUUGUCUUUAGUUGCCAUCAGGUUAUGCUGGGGACUCUAGAGAGACUGCCGGUGACAAACCGGAGGAAGGUGGGGACGACGUCAAGUCAUCAUGGCCCUUACGCCCAGGGCUACACA